RNAcentral lists this ribosomal RNA (632 nucleotides) under uncultured fungus. Its description in RNAcentral is "eukaryotic LSU rRNA". It matches the Rfam family "Eukaryotic large subunit ribosomal RNA", at positions 24 to 664 of the family's 3401-position model. Lineage: Eukaryota; Fungi. The record is from RNAcentral.
CCCGCUGAACUUAAGCAUAUCAAUAAGCGGAGGAAAAGAAACUAACAAGGAUUCCCCUAGUAACUGCGAGUGAAGCGGGAAAAGCUCAAAUUUAAAAUCUGGCGUACCUUUGGGUCGUCCGAGUUGUAAUCUGGAGAAGUGUUUUCCGCGUUGGACCGUGUACAAGUCCCUUGGAACAGGGCGUCAUAGAGGGUGAGAAUCCCGUCUUUGACACGGACUACCAAUGCUUUGUGAUGCGCUCUCAAAGAGUCGAGUUGUUUGGGAAUGCAGCUCAAAAUGGGUGGUAAACUCCAUCUAAGGCUAAAUACUGGCGAGAGACCGAUAGCGCACAAGUAGAGUGAUCAAAAGAUGAAAAGCACUUUGAAAAGAGAGUUAAACAGUACGUGAAAUUGUUGAAAGGGAAGCGCUUGAGACCAGACUCGGUGAUUGGUGAUCAGCGGUAGCUUCUGCUCCGUGCACUUGCCUUUUACUGGGCCAGCAUCAGUUGCGACGGCAGGAUAAAGGCUCAGGGAAUGUGGCUCUCUUCGGGGAGUGUUAUAGCCCUGGGUGUAAUGCUGCCUGCCGCGACUGAGGACCGCGCUUCGGCUAGGAUGCUGGCAUAAUGGUCUUCAGCGACCCGUCUUGAAACACGG